Molecule: ribosomal RNA, 255 nt
Filed under: uncultured bacterium
Lineage: Bacteria
Description: partial 16S ribosomal RNA
Rfam family: Bacterial small subunit ribosomal RNA
Source: RNAcentral
UACGUAGGGGGGCAAGCGUUGUCCGGAUUUAUUGGGCGUAAAGCGCUCGCAGGUGGUUUGUCGCGUCGUGCGUGAAAGACCCCGGCUCAACUGGGGAGGGUCGUGCGAUACGGGCGAACUGGAGGCCAGUAGGGGGAUGCGGAAUUCCGGGUGUAGUGGUGGAAUGCGUAGAGAUCCGGAGGAACACCAGCGGCGAAGGCGGCAUCCUGGACUGGUACUGACGCUGAGGUGCGAAAGCGUGGGGAGCAAACAGGG